This 443-nucleotide ribosomal RNA is filed under the name uncultured bacterium. RNAcentral's name for it is "partial 16S ribosomal RNA". It matches the Rfam family "Bacterial small subunit ribosomal RNA", at positions 338 to 795 of the family's 1533-position model. The record is from RNAcentral.
CCUACGGGUGGCAGCAGUGGGGGCUAUUGGACAAUGGGGGAAACCCUGAUCCAGCGACGCCGCGUGAGUGAAGAAGUAUUUCGGUAUGUAAAGCUCUGUCAGCAGGGAAGAAAGAAAUGACGGUACCUGACCAAGUCGCCCCGGCUAACUACGUGCCAGCCGCCGCGGUAAUACGUAGGGGGCAAGCGUUAUCCGGAAUUACUGGGUGUAAAGGGCGCGUCGACGGUGAGGCAAGUCUGGAGUGAAAGGCCGGGGCCCAACCCGCGGACUGCUCUGGAUACUGGGUAACUUGAGUGCAGGAGAGGUGAGCAGAAUUCCUGGUGUAGCGGUGAAAUGCGUAGAGAGUAGGAGGAACACCAGUGGUGAAGGCGGCUUACUGGACUGAAACUGACGUUGAGGCUCGAAAGCGUGGGGAGCAAACAGGAUUAGAUACCCGAGUAGUC